UGUAAUAGAACCAAACGUGGUCCGAACUGUGUUCAAAGUUUUACUGAACCUUUCCGCACUGUUUCGCAAAAUUUUUCGCGUAUUUUCGUUAAAAGAUAACACCGAUAAAACACUUCUGUCUACCGGUUUGGUUUCAUUUUUGUCACAAUCCUCAAAAUUACUUUGUAAUCGGCGCCGACAAGUGUAACCAGUUGGGCGAUCACCGCGGGCAGAUUUUAAUAACUCACUUGGCGGCAUUUUUAAUUAAUUUUAUAGAAAUAACCGUAUUUUAAAACCUGCUCAAACGUGACCGUUAUUCGAAUUUGACGUUUCGAGUUUAAAUCAAACACCGCGCCAACAUAACGAGCAAAAAACCCUGGGUUUUGACUUUUUGUCACUUUGAGGUUAUGCAACUAUUUAUUCCCAAAAAUGUGUUCCAAAAUAUUUCUUUUUGUAUAUUUAUGAUGUUUGUAAUUUUGUCUUUAAUUAGUUGUGUUUUAAAAUGAAUUCUAGUGACAACAAACUCGCAAAAACGAACGGACUGUGCCUGAGUGUUAAAAAUGAGAAACGCAGUGAUUAUCUCGAAUGGGAUGAGUAUUUUAUGGCCAUGACGUUUUUGGAACUGAGACGAGGAGCUCCAGGUCAUAACAACAAUGCUGCAAUUAUUCUAAAUCAGCGUAAAAUAAUAAUAAGCAUGGCCAACAGUUGUCUUGACACAAAUAAACACGAGUUGCAUACUAGUCACGCUGAAUAUAAAGCCUUACAAAAAAUUCAAGAGGGAAAUGUUAUGUACACAACUUCGUUUCCGUGUGACAAAUGUGCCGAAGCUAUUGCACAAGCUGGAAUUAAAGAAAUUGUUUUUUAUCAAAACAAUACUGACGAUAAUAUAGCCAAAGAACUAUGCGAUAAAUAUGGAAUUACUUAUAGGCAAUUUAACACAAAAAAGAAAAGGAUUGAGCUCGAUUUUAGCCAAUUUUGUGAUGAUUAAAUAAAAUAAAUAACUAAUCACAGUGGCCUAUGAUUUUGAAAUUAAGUUGGCAACUGUCAAAUUCACAGGUCACUGUGGUUAGAAAUUUAAUUUAAAAUAUUUUUUUAACGAUUUUAAUAAAUACCUGGGGUCAUGCCUAAAAAUACA
This is an RNA transcript of Tribolium castaneum (red flour beetle), 1114 nucleotides long. RefSeq lists it as uncharacterized. The record is from RefSeq and is a predicted model, not a curated record. The transcript has 4 exons. NCBI's taxonomy places the organism in Eukaryota, Metazoa, Arthropoda, Insecta, Coleoptera, Tenebrionidae.